Ruditapes philippinarum (Manila clam) is the source of this 769-nucleotide long non-coding RNA. RefSeq lists it as uncharacterized. The record is from RefSeq and is a predicted model, not a curated record. Lineage: Eukaryota; Metazoa; Mollusca; Bivalvia; Venerida; Veneridae. The transcript is spliced from 4 exons.
ACUUCCGUAGAAGUGAAAAUAUUCACCCCAGUUUCAUCCGGCCAACGUAAAUCAACGCAAAAUAUAUUACGGAAGAAUGUUUUGAACUGUUUUGAUUGAGUAUAGACAACCGAAUAUGGUUGUUUAAUGUAAUAACUGUCAUGUAUGAUUAGUUUUUAACGCUUUAAAGUCCAAACAAUGCCAAUUUCGGAGAUAGACUGAGUUCUGUCAAAAUGACCCUGCGAAAACUGAUCAAACGUGAUUGCAACAUUUCAUAUUCAAGAAUUAUAUACAGUCAGUAACUUGAGUGGUCCAAAAUGGAUUCACAGUUGAAGACGUUCAUCUGUACAAGAAGUCAUCUUCUACAUGUUCAUGUCAAUGAUGUUUGCUAAGAGAUUUGAUUGCAUUAUGAUUGUUUGUGAAAGUUGUUAAAUUUUGAUAAAGUGGCCUAUGCCCUUCUUGCCCAUGAAGUAUCCGGAAUAUAGAAUUACUAUGGAGGCAGCAUUGCCUUCAUCUGUGCAUAGUUGGCUCAAAUAUGAGCUGGAACAACUUGGAAUUGAUUCUCUUGUCUACACACGUUACAUCAUCAGCUUACUUCUUCAGGAUCCUGAAGAUUUAGAAGGUCUUGACACUGAUUUAGAUGCUUUUCCUAAAUCUAAGAGAAAAGGUCGGAAAUCAGAAAAGCAAAAACAUUUGUCUGCAAGUGACGAGGAGAGAAAAAAGUUUGCAGCUAUCCAAUGUCUUUCAGAUAUAACUGAAGAGGUAAAAAACAUGUGUAAUGGUGGUACUU